Molecule: ribosomal RNA, 253 nt
Filed under: uncultured bacterium
Lineage: Bacteria
Description: partial 16S ribosomal RNA
Rfam family: Bacterial small subunit ribosomal RNA
Source: RNAcentral
UACAGAGACUGCGAGCGUUAUUCGGAUUCACUGGGCGUAAAGGGUGCGCAGGCGGCCAAGUGUGUUAGGCGUGAAAGCCCGGGGCUUAACCUCGGAAUUGCACCUAAAACUACUUGGCUAGAGCAUUGGAGAGGGUAGCGGAAUUCACGGUGUAGCAGUGAAAUGCGUAGAUAUCGUGAGGAACACCAGAGGCGAAGGCGGCUACCUGGACAAUUGCUGACGCUCAGGCACGAAAGCGUGGGGAUCAAACAGG